RNAcentral lists this ribosomal RNA (621 nucleotides) under uncultured bacterium. RNAcentral's name for it is "bacterial SSU rRNA". The stretch from base 1 to 542 matches the Rfam family "Bacterial small subunit ribosomal RNA", at positions 338 to 873 of the family's 1533-position model. The record is from RNAcentral.
CCUACGGGAGGCAGCAGUGGGGAAUUUUGGACAAUGGGCGCAAGCCUGAUCCAGCAAUGCCGCGUGCAGGAUGAAGGCCUUCGGGUUGUAAACUGCUUUUGUACGGAACGAAACGGUCCUUUCUAAUACAAGGGGCUAAUGACGGUACCGUAAGAAUAAGCACCGGCUAACUACGUGCCAGCAGCCGCGGUAAUACGUAGGGUGCGAGCGUUAAUCGGAAUUACUGGGCGUAAAGCGUGCGCAGGCGGUUAUAUAAGACAGAUGUGAAAUCCCCGGGCUCAACCUGGGACCUGCAUUUGUGACUGUAUAGCUAGAGUACGGUAGAGGGGGAUGGAAUUCCGCGUGUAGCAGUGAAAUGCGUAGAUAUGCGGAGGAACACCGAUGGCGAAGGCAAUCCCCUGGACCUGUACUGACGCUCAUGCACGAAAGCGUGGGGAGCAAACAGGAUUAGAUACCCUGGUAGUCCACGCCCUAAACGAUGUCAACUGGUUGUUGGGUCUUCACUGACUCAGUAACGAAGCUAACGCGUGAAGUUGACCGCCUGGGGAGGUACGGCCGCGAGUAGAACGUACAANAGAGUUGAGGCGUGAGACGUGCGACGGACGACGACGAGGGAGGAGG